UCAGCAGGUCGCCUGGGUCUCUGUCUCAGUGCUCAGCAGGGCGAGGACAGGACAGAACGGGCCCCAUCACAGACUGCGCUUAGAAGGAACUCAGUAAAACAAAGACCAUUUUCUUCUGGAGGCAACUCAAGGAGGUAAGACUGUGAGUCAAGCGCCUUGGAGGAUAAGAAGUCCAGAAAAACAUGGAAACAAUGAACAGACGCAAGCACGCAGAGCCGCACGCCCUGACGGUGCACCCCGAGCCAGGUGGCACCCAGCAGCCAGGAAACCCAUGAGUGACAGUGGCCAAGGUGGCCUGGUCGUCUGCAAUUACAGGAACCUGCCUUUCAAGAUUUCCAGCAUCACUGGUACUCAAUAUUGAAGGAAUGAAAAUACGUGAGGAAUAAAAGAAUGAAGAAAGUGACCUCUACCGCAAGGACACAGGCCCUGAAGGCUGAGACUGUGAAGGGGGCAGGCAAAGAUCCACGCCCAGACAGGCCACCCCUGCUCUCCUGGGAAAGGGGCCGAGAGCCAGAGAGUUCGGGGCAGAGAGAGCCUGAGUGCGAGGCCCAGGCCAGGGCCUUUACCAGCAAAGACCGGCCCCUCUGCCUGCGCCCUGAGGUCAUGGAGAAAGGCAGGGGUGGGGGUAUGGUCAUCCUUCCCAAGGUCCUGGAGUCAGGUCUGCUUACCAAGCCACCGUGUGUCCCAUGACAUUCUGGAGGCCUCCGGGCCCAAUGGAGGUCACAUCCACCGUCCUCCCGGCCCUGUCCUGUCCACUGGGUGGCUGCCCUCUUCCCACCCUCCAGUAUUGACUGCGUUGUGUGGGAUGGGGAAGACCUCCGGUCCCCUCCACCAAACAAAGCACAAGCCAAAGUGCCCACCAGCGUGAGUGCCGUGAGCACCGUGAACCUUCUCUAUGCCGAGGGGCACACAGCCUUGAGCGUCCACGGGGGAUGGGCCUGUGGGUGCUUUCCCUCUGCCCCAGGGAAGCGGUGGUAAUCACACCUGUGAGAUGCCGACAAUCAUGCGUGCGACCAUCCGUCUCUAGGUGCCCGGGGCCUGGAAGCCCAGGAGCUCCCACAUCCAGGGAGGAGGCACGGAUCAGAUCACAAGCGCCCAUCACUGCCCUCCGUGCAUACUGGGAAGGCUGAUGGCAGAGGCUAAGGAAGGGGAGAGGCCAGGAAAAGUGCGUGAAGAUACAUACCAAACACACAACGCUCAACUCUCGCAGAGCUUUCUCUAAAUGCAUCUCACUUACCGAAAGAGUACCUGAAAAACAAAAGAAGAAACGAGUAUUAACACUUUGGCUUGUUUCAACCAAAAACCCACUGUUUCCCCACUGAGUGAAGCCCACCCUGGCACCCAGCACGGUGUGGGGUCAGGGAAGCCCUGCGAGGAGGACCUGCCCGCUGGGCAUUAGGGGAACAGGAGCCCCUCCCCACGGCUCACACACAGGCAGGCCCAGAACAGGCAACCAAAACAUAUUCCAAGAUACACCUACUAAGUACCCAUAGAAAUAAAAAAAUAUGUAUUUUGCG
RNAcentral lists this long non-coding RNA (1517 nucleotides) under Homo sapiens (human). Its description in RNAcentral is "HSALNT0383969". Lineage: Eukaryota; Metazoa; Chordata; Mammalia; Primates; Hominidae. The record is from RNAcentral.